This 41-nucleotide ribosomal RNA is filed under the name Brongniartia magnibracteata. Its description in RNAcentral is "partial 26S ribosomal RNA". The record is from RNAcentral. Lineage: Eukaryota; Viridiplantae; Streptophyta; Magnoliopsida; Fabales; Fabaceae.
GGGACCUCAGGUCAGGCGGGCUACCCGUGAGUUUAAGCAUA